This 273-nucleotide ribosomal RNA is filed under the name uncultured bacterium. RNAcentral describes it as "partial 16S ribosomal RNA". It matches the Rfam family "Bacterial small subunit ribosomal RNA", at positions 524 to 796 of the family's 1533-position model. The record is from RNAcentral.
UACGUAGGUGGCGAGCGUUAUCCGGAAUUACUGGGCGUAAAGCGCACGCAGGCGGUCUUGUAAGUUUGACGUGAAAGCUCCCGGCUUAACUGGGAGAGGUCGUUGAAGACUGCAAGACUUGAGGCAAUGAGGGGGGUGUAGAAUUCCUGGUGUAGUGGUGGAAUGCGUAGAUAUCAGGAGGAAUACCAGUGGCGAAAGCGGCACCCUAGCGUUAGCCUGACGCUCAUGUGCGAAAGCGUGGGGAGCAAACGGGAUUAGAAACCCCCGUAGUCC